UGGGGAAUCAUGGUCAAUGGGCGAAAGCCUGAACCUGCGACGCCGCGUGAGUGAUGAAGGUCGUAAGAUCGUAAAACUCUUUUCAGGGAUCUUAAAGCACAACCGUCAACAACGGCUGUGUGUGACUCUCCCUGGAAGAAGCCCCAGCCAACUACGUGCCAGCAGCUGCGGUACUACGUAGGGGGCAAGCGUUAUUCGGAAUUACUGGGUGUAAAGGGUAUGUAGGCGGCCCUUCAAGUCGCGUGUCAAAGUCCGGUGCUCAA
This 263-nucleotide ribosomal RNA is filed under the name uncultured prokaryote. Its description in RNAcentral is "partial 16S ribosomal RNA". It matches the Rfam family "Bacterial small subunit ribosomal RNA", at positions 355 to 612 of the family's 1533-position model. The record is from RNAcentral.